GGGUCGUCAUUUCCAAUCGGAUGGCCAUAAUGAGGCCUAACACCUAUGCUAAAGCCCCUAAACAUGCCUAAUUGGCCGAGGAACUUCUUGCUACCUAUUACUGCACAUCCAUAAUGCCAAGGUACAACAUCAACAAAAUAGGAAGCAGAUCGACCAGGGUCAUGCUAAUAAGCGACCAAAAAUGGCUCCUAUUAUAGUUGUUUCCCCACCUCCACCUCCAUGCAGU
Molecule: long non-coding RNA, 226 nt
Filed under: Carica papaya (papaya)
Lineage: Eukaryota; Viridiplantae; Streptophyta; Magnoliopsida; Brassicales; Caricaceae
Description: long non-coding RNA (CPAP_LNC009474)
Source: RNAcentral